AAGUCGUAACAAGGUUUCCGUAGGUGAACCUGCGGAAGGAUCAUUAUCGAGUUUGAAGUGGGUCUUUGAGCUGGCUUUUCACGAAGCACCGUGCUCGGGCCCCGCUCCAUCCACUCAACCCCUGUGCACUUUCGAUGGCGUGGUCUCGUUGAGUGAUGUUCCAUUCAUUUGGACAUCGGAGGCCGCGACGUCGUCUUAUCACAAACUUAUUACAAUAGUCUUGUCGAACGUGGAUGCUCGUAAGGGCGGAAACACAAUACAACUUUCAACAACGGAUCUCUUGGCUCUC
This 289-nucleotide unclassified non-coding RNA is filed under the name Hyphodontia pallidula. Its description in RNAcentral is "partial internal transcribed spacer region". The stretch from base 1 to 46 matches the Rfam family "Eukaryotic small subunit ribosomal RNA", at positions 1786 to 1831 of the family's 1831-position model. Lineage: Eukaryota; Fungi; Basidiomycota; Agaricomycetes; Hymenochaetales; Schizoporaceae. The record is from RNAcentral.